UCAAGGUCACAGAGUCAAAAAGUCAUGAUCUGUUCACAGGUAAUAUGAAUGCCCUUUCAUUUAUCUUUCAAAAUGAUCAAUUUAAAGCAAUUAAUUUCUUUAUGAAAUUAGGUCAAACUUCAAGGUCAUGGGUAAUAAAAAUCAUAGUGUAUUUAGAAUGGUAUUGUCCCAUUUAAUACUAAUACGCAUGUUUAAUAUAAAAGUCCUGUCUCUUCUCAUUCAAAAUAUAUGACCAUAUGACCAAGGUUAAAUUUAUUGUGACAGAUGGGCAGAUUGAAAAACAAAUGAGAUUUAAUGUACCCUACCUUUAGCGAAAAUGGGGGACAAUAAAUGUCUUUGCUGUUCUUGAGAAGAAGAUUUAUGGUGGAAAAAGUCCCCUGCAUAUUUAAAUGUAAAUUGGUUGAAAUUGGCCCAGUGGUUCUUAAGAAGUUAAUGUGAAAAGUUUGCAGACAAACAGAUGUACAACAGAAAUCAGUACAUUUCAGAAAACAGUAUGCUUAUAAAUAGUUAAUCAAGGUGCUUUGGGUAGCAAAAUAAAGCUAAACUGGUAUAUCUAAUUCAUCCGCAGAGCUUAGUAUAUUUUAAUAUGCACAACCUUUUCAACUCUUAUCAUGAUUAUUUUUUAAAAUUUAUAUCACCAUGUCUCAUUCAAGGGAGAACUAGAGAUAUGACCAGAUGUAUAUCUGUUGAAUAUAAAAUAUGUACAUGUA
Saccostrea cuccullata (small rock oyster) is the source of this 710-nucleotide long non-coding RNA. RefSeq lists it as uncharacterized. The record is from RefSeq and is a predicted model, not a curated record. Lineage: Eukaryota; Metazoa; Mollusca; Bivalvia; Ostreida; Ostreidae. The transcript is spliced from 2 exons.